GGGGCUGUAGCUCAGCUGGUUUAGAGCGCCUGCCUGUCACGCAGGAGGUCGAGGGUUCGAGCCCCUUCAGUCCCGCCA
Molecule: transfer RNA, 78 nt
Filed under: Rickettsiales bacterium
Lineage: Bacteria; Pseudomonadati; Pseudomonadota; Alphaproteobacteria; Rickettsiales
Description: tRNA-Asp
Rfam family: tRNA
About the family: Transfer RNA (tRNA) molecules are approximately 80 nucleotides in length. Their secondary structure includes four short double-helical elements and three loops (D, anti-codon, and T loops). Further hydrogen bonds mediate the characteristic L-shaped molecular structure. tRNAs have two regions of fundamental functional importance: the anti-codon, which is responsible for specific mRNA codon recognition, and the 3' end, to which the tRNAs corresponding amino acid is attached (by aminoacyl-tRNA synthetases). tRNAs cope with the degeneracy of the genetic code in two manners: having more than one tRNA (with a specific anti-codon) for a particular amino acid; and 'wobble' base-pairing, i.e. permitting non-standard base-pairing at the 3rd anti-codon position.
Source: RNAcentral